GCCAGACGCGGUGGCGCGCGCCUGUAGUCCCAGCUACUCGGGAGGCUGAGGUGGGAGGAUCGCUUGAGUCCAGGAGUUCUGGGCUGCAGUGCGCUAUGCCGAUCGGGUGUCCGCACUAAGUUCGGCAUCAAUAUGGUGACCUCCCGGGAGCGGGGGACCACCAGGUUGCCUAAGGAGGGGUGAACCGGCCCAGGUCGGAAACGGAGCAGGUCAAAACUCCCGUGCUGAUCAGUAGUGGGAUCGCGCCUGUGAAUAGCCACUGCACUCCAGCCUGGGCAAUAUAGUGAGACCCUGUCUCU
RNAcentral lists this signal recognition particle RNA (299 nucleotides) under Cavia aperea (Brazilian guinea pig). RNAcentral describes it as "Metazoan signal recognition particle RNA (ENSCAPG00000004956.1)". It matches the Rfam family "Metazoan signal recognition particle RNA". From Rfam's summary of the family: The signal recognition particle (SRP) is a universally conserved ribonucleoprotein. It is involved in the co-translational targeting of proteins to membranes. Lineage: Eukaryota; Metazoa; Chordata; Mammalia; Rodentia; Caviidae. The record is from RNAcentral.